RNAcentral lists this ribosomal RNA (138 nucleotides) under uncultured bacterium. RNAcentral describes it as "partial 16S ribosomal RNA". It matches the Rfam family "Bacterial small subunit ribosomal RNA", at positions 355 to 509 of the family's 1533-position model. The record is from RNAcentral.
UGGGGGAUAUUGCACAAUGGGGGGAACCCUGAUGCAGCGACGCCGCGUGGGUGAAGGAGCGUUUCGGCGCGUAAAGCCCUAUCGGCAGGGAAGAAGGAGGACGGUACCUGACUAAGAAGCCCCGGCUAACUACGUGCC